GUAGGUGGCAAGCGUUGUCCGGAAUUAUUGGGCGUAAAGCGCGCGCAGGCGGUUCUUUAAGUCUGAUGUGAAAGCCCACGGCUCAACCGUGGAGGGUCAUUGGAAACUGGAGAACUUGAGUACAGAAGAGGAAAGCGGAAUUCCACGUGUAGCGGUGAAAUGCGUAGAGAUGUGGAGGAACACCAGUGGCGAAGGCGGCUUUCUGGUCUGUAACUGACGCUGAGGCGCGAAAGCGUGGGGAGCAGACAGGAUUAGAUACCCUGGUAGUCCACGCCGUAAACGAUGAGUGCUAAGUGUUAGGGGGGUUCCCCGCCCCCCUUAGUGCUGCAGCUAACGCAUUAAGCACUCCGCCUGGGAGUACGGCCGCAAGGCUG
RNAcentral lists this ribosomal RNA (374 nucleotides) under uncultured organism. RNAcentral's name for it is "partial 16S ribosomal RNA". It matches the Rfam family "Bacterial small subunit ribosomal RNA", at positions 527 to 896 of the family's 1533-position model. The record is from RNAcentral.